GACACUGGGAGCAGAACCACCAUCAUGGAUAAAAACUAUAUGAAUAAAAACUAUGGGUGUAGUCUGUGUACGACCCAUUUGAACCAAGAUGUUGCUUUUUCCCAGUUAUCAAUUUCAGUUAUUUUGAGUGCUUUAAUUCCAGUACUUGGGUCUGCUUAUAUCACUGUCUCGUACUUCUCGUUCUGUGCUCUGUUAUUUGUUUCAAUGUUUAUUCAUUUCAAUAUGUUGGCCUAACUAGCAGGUAAGAGUGGAUUGAGACAGAGCUUGGGCAAUUAGCUCGAAACUAGUGAAACAGCCCGCACUUUGGAUCGGGUUUUUUUUGUUAGUAAUCGGAUAGCUGGAGGAGGGCAAAAGUGUCCCCGUCACUCCUUUGUGCCGUAGUAGUUUUUUUUUUUUUCAGGCAUUCUUACGAUAAUUCGAUCUCUGUUUAAUAUACGUGCUCUUAUAUCUACUGCCAUCAAAACCUAAACAUCAAAGUUUUCUAGGAUGGUUCGAUUGGCCUGAUUCAUUUAUUGGGUUGCACAGUAAAUCUUCCAGUUACAGUAAAUAAUCCCAAACUCCGUGGCUAAGCUCUUUGCUCAACUGUCAGGCUCAUACGUCGAGAAGUCAUAAAAACACUGACCUGAAAUCAAUACACAAAAUCAUAUUAGUUAACAAGCAACUAUAUAUGCACUGAUUCACAUUCACACGUGAAUGUGGCACAUAGGAGAGUCCCUGCAAUGCAGGAUUAAACAAACUACUACAGUAAGCAUCUCUAAGGUUUAUAUCAAUGCCUUCCCCAAAAUCUGGACAUAAAUCAUAUGAGGAAGUCAAAAAAAAAAAAAAAAAAAAGAUUUGCAUUCGAUCACAGACUACAUGUGAAUGUGCUAAAUAAGACUGCCUAUAUAGAGAAAGGGGGAGAGCAAUUGGAGCAAGAUCACAUUUGAUGUUAUGAGAUGGUUCCGUAUUUCCGUUGGCGAUUUGAGAGAUUGAGAAGUAAUCGGUCGUCUAAAGAGAAAGGAGGAUUUGAUUGAGCUAUCAAGGAUCUUUCACAGAUUGAUCGAGCUGUAGGCUAAGUUUUUGGGAUUGAAGGCAGAAUUGGAUGAGGAACAUGGGUUGAAUCUGGAGCUGCAGUCACAAAAUAGAAAGCUUGGUGAGAAUCUUGCUGUUGCUGAAGCAAAGAUAGAACUUUAACUACUCCUUAACAAGAGCACUACUUUUGGCCUUCAGACAGCAUUGCUCUGGAGAAAUUUGAGAGAAAGUGGCAUGAAGUAACAAACCAAGUGGGGGAACAGAUCACCUCGAGUACUAUUUUGGUAAUGUUCAGGAGCUGUUGCAAUUGCUGUUGGAGGCCUCACAAAACAAGAGGUUUGUUUGCAAAGAAGAAAACAAGGCUCCAAGAGCAAUGAUGAAAUCUCUGACUCCUCUGCCUCUGCUUCAUAGGCUUCUGUCACCCAUGCCCACCACAAAUUCAGAGCCAAAGCUGCAAUAUCCAUCUACAUUUUUUUAUUUUCGGAUUUUGUUAUGCUGUUGUGGACUCUGGUUGAUGACUCAAUUUGUAUAUGGUUUUUAGUUUUCAGGAAGAGGAUAAGGAGCAGAAGAGGAAUCAGUCAUGGAACAAGAAAUCAAGGUCAUGCUUUCAAGGAAAUUGCCUCCAGAACCAAGAUCCGAAACAGAUACAAUAUGUGUGGGUAACAUUGACUUUGCAUCUCUUACCUUGGACUAUAAAUAUUGCUCGAGUAUGCUCGAGAACUGAUCUCAAAGUCCCGACUCCCGACCAGAAAUGAAUGAUGGACAUGAGAAGUAGAUGAUUGCUAUCAUGGUCUCGAUCACAGUAGUGAAUUUUCUGCCCACGGUCUUACUGUAAAAGAUUUUAAAAUGAAAUUGUACGGGCAGGGUGAAUUUCAUUGAAUCUUGAAGAUAACAAUAUUGACAACGUAGGGUGAAUUAGUGGCUGUGCUAAAAUGUUAUGGUUUGAAAAAUUGUGGAAAAACUGAAUGAAUGUGAAAAAGGCCACAGACUCUUUCGAUAAAUGAUCGAGUCAAUGAGCAUCCCUUAAAGGCUAAAUUUAAGUAUC
Molecule: long non-coding RNA, 2056 nt
Organism: Rosa rugosa (rugosa rose)
Lineage: Eukaryota; Viridiplantae; Streptophyta; Magnoliopsida; Rosales; Rosaceae
Exons: 7
Source: RefSeq, a predicted model, not a curated record